GACUCCUACGGGAGGCAGCAGUGGGGAAUAUUGCACAAUGGGGGAAACCCUGAUGCAGCCAUGCCGCGUGUGUGAAGAAGGCCCUAGGGUUGUAAAGACUUUCAGUGGUGAGGAAGCCACAUGCUUAAUACGCAUGU
RNAcentral lists this ribosomal RNA (137 nucleotides) under uncultured bacterium. RNAcentral's name for it is "partial 16S ribosomal RNA". It matches the Rfam family "Bacterial small subunit ribosomal RNA", at positions 334 to 467 of the family's 1533-position model. The record is from RNAcentral.